AGUGAACGCUGGCGGUAGGCCUAACACAUGCAAGUCGAACGGCAGCACAGUAAGAGCUUGCUCUUACGGGUGGCGAGUGGCGGACGGGUGAGGAAUACAUCGGAAUCUACUUUUUCGUGGGGGAUAACGUAGGGAAACUUACGCUAAUACCGCAUACGACCUACGGGUGAAAGCAGGGGAUCUUCGGACCUUUCGCGAUUGAUUGAGCCGAAGUCGCAUUAGCUAGUUGGCGGGGUAAAGGCCCACCAAGGCGACGAUCCGUAGCUGGUCUGAGAGGAUGAUCAGCCACACUGGAACUGAGACACGGUCCAGACUCCUACGGGAGGCAGCAGUGGGGAAUAUUGGACAAUGGGCGCAAGCCUGAUCCAGCCAUGCCGCGUGGGUGAAGAAGGCCUUCGGGUUGUAAAGCCCUUUUGUUGGGAAAGAAAAGCAGCAGGUUAAUACCCCGCUGUUCUGACGGUACCCAAAGAAUAAGCACCGGCUAACUUCGUG
This 492-nucleotide ribosomal RNA is filed under the name uncultured bacterium. RNAcentral describes it as "partial 16S ribosomal RNA". It matches the Rfam family "Bacterial small subunit ribosomal RNA", at positions 29 to 507 of the family's 1533-position model. The record is from RNAcentral.